Molecule: long non-coding RNA, 20540 nt
Filed under: Lactuca sativa (garden lettuce)
Lineage: Eukaryota; Viridiplantae; Streptophyta; Magnoliopsida; Asterales; Asteraceae
Description: long non-coding RNA (LSAT_LNC008022)
Source: RNAcentral
UCAUGUUUUAAUUUUUUUAUUAGCUAUGUCUGACAGCUAAAUUUUCAUAAUCAGUUGUGUGUACUGUGUACAUUUAUAUAAUAAUUUCCAACACGAUUCUUGUUUAACUUUUAAAAUAAAUGAAAGAACUUUACAAUAUUCUAAAAGAGUUAACCGGAAAAUCGAUCCCUGUCACUGGGCCGGCAAAGUUUCCGGCCGCCAUGACAGAUCCGACGAACCAAAACCUAGAUCUGUAUGAUCAAACAACCCAUCUAACGCCACGUAUUCACCGUUGUUACUAUAAUUACUAACAUUAACAUCGUCAUAACCAAAUUCAUACUCGAAUGAACCAUAGUUUGAGAUCUGAUCAUCUAAACCCCAUAACUCACUGAGUUCAACCGACUCAGCCAAAACUCUCAUCUUUUCCGGUGCGGUUAGAGUUGUAUCCGUAUCCGUUUCGGUCGGUGGAAGACCGAGUUCGUCAUCCGACGCCUCAAAAAGAAACCCAAGCUCCGGCCGGGAUUCGGAAUUUACUCCGGCGCCAAACUCCGGCACCGGAGAAAUCUCAUCUUGAAAGCUCUUCAUGAACGAGUCAAGGUCGUGAUUCACUGUGGACGCAUCUGAAUCGUCCAAAAUGUCGAGGAGGAUUCUUUUGGCCUCGACUGAGUCAAACCCCGACUCGUCUGAGUCAGAACGGACUCGUUUCUUGCAACUCAGAGAUUCCAUUUUAACGAGAGAGAGAGAGAGAGAGAGAGAGAGAGAGAGAGAGAGAGAGAGAGAGAGAGAGAGAGAGAGNNNNNNNNNNNNNNNNNNNNNNNNNNNNNNNNNNNNNNNNNNNNNNNNNNNNUUUAACGAGAGAGAGAGAGAGAGAGAGAGAGAGAGAGAGAGAGAGAGAGAGAGAGAGAGAGAGAGAGAGAGAGAGAGAGAGGUAGGGGUAGUUUCGGGAUAAAGAUUUGUUGAUGAGGGAGACAAAGGAUGUUUGUGAAGUGGCAAAGGAGACGGAAGGGGUUUUAUAGGGAGGGACAAAGUUUGAUUUUAUUUUGAUUUUUUUAUUAUUAUUUUGAUUUUUUUAUUAGUGUCGAUGAUGGGAGGAGAAGGACAGGGGCGCGUGGAGGCAUUUACUUCGAACAUCACGCAUGUCUUAGGCUGUUUUUUUUCUUCUUUAUCAAACUUUUUUCCGCCAAAAUGAUCCUUCUAGUGCAAAUCUUGCUCACACCAAUGGUCAUGAAUAUCCAUUACAAACCAUUUUUGACAUUUUAUAAAACUUUACUUGAGUAAAUUUUACAUAAGAAUCAUUUGUGAAACUUCAUGUAAUAAUCAUUUAUUACUAUUUUUUUUUAUCUUUUUUCAUAUUUUUUAUAUUUUAGUUUUUUACUUUUUGUUUGAUUUAUCAACUAUUACAAAUAUAUUUUAUUUAAUAUAUAAAUACUUUUUGUUGCUAAACUUCAAUAAUUAAAAUACAAUACAUUAUUAAAUAUUUUUGUUUUUAAUUUUUUAUCUAAAAAUAUUAAAAGUAUAAAAACAUCAUUUUAUUUAUUUUUAACUUUUAUGUGAUAUUAUUAUUGAGAUUCAUUUUAUUAUUAGUUAAUAGACGAUUUUUAAUUUUUCUUUGAAAAACUUUUGUAUUUACUAAGAAAUAUAUUCAAAAUAUGAGAAAACUAAAAAAAUUUAUUAAAUUAAAUAUCAAAAGUUUAUAACAAACCAAUAUAAAAUUUACCGUAUGCUAUUUAUAUUAUGGUUUUAUCCAAAGCAAUUAAACAAAUUUAAUUUAAUUUUAUUUGGUUCUAUUUCAGUUAAUAUUUUAAAGCCCAUACAAUUAAUUAUUUGUUGGCCUUUAUUUUUAAUUGAAAAUAACAAGAUACUUAUAUUAUGAAAUCAAAACAGAAACAUAUUUAUACCUUUAAGUCAAAACAAUCUACUUAUAAUUUUAAAACAAAAUAACAAUGAACUAUUAUUUUUUAUAUACAUAUUUGUUUAUAAUAAUGCAUAAUAUUUUCAUAAAAAAGUAUAUUUGUAUAAGAAAAAGUAAAGAUAAAUGUCAAAAAUAAUAUUACGUAAAAAUUAAAAAUAGAUAAAAAUGAUGUUUUUAUAUUUUAAAUAUUUUUAGAUAAAAAAAUUAAUGGUGUAUUGUAAUUUAAAUAAUUUAGAUAAUAUUUAGAUAGCAAAAAUUGUUUAUAUAUUAAUGAAGAUAUAUUUGUAAUACUAAAUCAAAUAAAAAGAAAAAAAAAACUAAAAUAUAUAAAUUGUAAAAAAAUUAAAAAAAAAAAAAAAAAAACAAAUGGUCAUUAGGUGAAGUAUCACAGAUGAUCCUUAGAUAAAGUUUCAUAAAUGGUCGUUCGGUAAUGUUUCAGGAAUGGUCCUUAUGCAAAGUUUCACAAAAUAUUAGAAACAGUUAUAAUCCAAAAUUUUCUCAAUUCAACUAAUCUAUCUAACGGACAUCCACCACAAACACCAUUAGUGUGAAAGGUUUGCUUUUAAAAAAAAGACCUUCCAUGCAAAAGCAAAACAUGUUUUAUAAGGGAUGCUUGUGGACAAAAUCAAAACCAUAAGGACCAUUUGUGAAAUUUUGUCUAAAAAGUAUUAUAUUAUUAGACAACAUUGCAAAAAUGGUCCUUAUGGUAUGCAUUUUUGGGGGUUUUAGUUCAAACCAUGACUUUUUUGGAUUGGUGGUCUUUUUGAGCUAGUUUCGUUGCGUUUUUGGUCCCUCAGAAAACUGAAAAGACUAAAAUGUUCUUCUGAUACAUUUUUUUUUAUGGUUUUUGCUAUUUAAUUAAAAAAUUUAUUAAUAAAAAUUAUGGGGCCCCCCUCUCUCUCUCUCUCUCUCUCCCUCUUUCUCUCUCUCUCUCUCUCUCUCUCUCUCUCUGUCUCCCUCUCUCUUCAAAACACACACUUAACACUAUCAAGAACACAUACGCACAAUCUCAAGAACACCUCCACCUCCAUCUCUACCGUCCAUCGCUGCUCACCGCCGCCACCAUCCAUUGCCAACCACUUCCAUUUCCUCCACCCUAAUCCCACAUAUCUCCUUGGUUGUUGUUCUUCAAAGAAGGGCUACAUAAUCUGUCCAUCUUCAUCUCUCAAGAAACUAGUAAUUGAAACUAAACACCAACACAAUUGUCUCCAAACUCCGACUAAUCCCAUCUCAAAUCCUUUCAUUUGUGCUUCACUGCCUCCCAAAUCUGGCCCAGAAUCCUCGCCGUUGGCACCUCAAUGGUCGUCACCUAUUUGAUGUUUAACAACCGACAGUCUAAGGUUCUUUUUGGAACCGAUAUAGACACUCGUUACACCUACCCUUUGCUUUCUCAAGGUGUUUGCUUCGAGCCUUCAAUCGAUGGAGGAUUCUAUUAAAUGGGUUAUUACAGGUGAAGAAUUUUGAAUGGGAUUGAGUUUUAGUGCUUUAAUUAGAGGUUGUGAGUGGGAUUGAGUUUGAGCCUUCAACAUCGGUGUCUUACUUUAUCGAUCUUAGUUAAUCUUUAUUGUCACCUCCAGAGAACAAUCUUCAAAAUCCAUGACCAAGGUCCACUGAAAAUGAAAUCGAGUUUGUAGAUCUGUAUGUGAAAGAAAUCGAGAGUGGGGGUUGGUUUCUUGCUGCUAUGAAGAUGGUGAUAAUGGUUGUAUUGAGAAGAUGGUGGGUCGAUGUAGUUGUAUGGAGAAGAUGGUGGGUCGAUGUAGGUGGGUUGAUUACCACUGGUCCAGGUCGUAAGGGAGAAACAGGGGAACCCAGAUUGAGUUCAUGUAAUUCGAGUUUGUUGGUAUUACCAACAUCGAAUGUAACUGAUUUUUGGGCUAUAGCGGUUGUUGUAGAUGAUAACUUGGUGGGGUAGAUGUGGAAUUUAGAUUAAGAAGGAAGAGAUGAAGAAGAUGAAGUGUUCAUCUUGGGUAAAAAGAAAAAGGAGAAGGAUAUGGGGGUAUACGGUUGGAGAAAGAGAGAGAGAGAGAGAGAGAGAGAGAGAGAGAAAGAAAGAAAGAAAGAAAGAAAGUUUUAUUUUUUUUUAAUUAGUUAAAUAAAUAAAUAAAUAAAUAUUCAGAUUUAAAAAAAAUGAAAGAAAUGAAAAAUAAAUGAAAAGUAAAUAACCCAAGCGUAUUACAGUCAUUUCACUAUUCACAGGGACCAAAAACGCAAUGAAACUAGCUCAAAAUGACCAUCAAUCCAAAAAAGUCUUGGUUUUGACUAAAACUCUAAAAAAAUGCAUAUCACAUGGACAAUUUUUGCAAUUUNAUACACACAUAUAUAUAUAUAUAUAUAUAUAUAUAUAUAUAUAUAGAGAGAGAGAGAGAGAGUGAGAGAGAGAGAGAGAGAAAGAAUAUAGCUUCAUUUGUAGACAAACAUGUAUUUUGUGAUUAUAUAAACUCAAUAUUAGUCGAUCAUUUUAAAAACUUAAAUGAGGGUAUUAUUGUCGUUUAACAUAUUUUUCGGUUAAUUCUUUUUCAAAUUAAUCUACUAAUUUAGGUAAUCAAUAACUCCUCUCCUUAUAUAUUGCAUUUUCCGAGAGUUUGCUCUCACCAUUGUUGAACACUAUCUGUAACAAUUGGCAUUCAUCUCUAUUUACUACAUGCCACCACCAUCGAGCAUAUGAACUUACACCCGUCGCCCUCUCCUUUCAAGUCCUCAUCGACAACCCCACCAUCGACGUGAAAGAUCUUGUAUGCUCAAUAGUCAUAUUAGAAUUAUAUUGCUAAUUAAUAUAUGAUCUUAAAGGUCAUACUAACAACGACUUGAUAUAAUUAAUUAUUUAUUAGAAAGUAAUUUUAAUAAAUAUUCAUAAACUCUUAUAAUAAAUUGGAAAAAUAUGUAUUUUAUGGAAAUAAUUAUUUUACAAUAACAAGUAACAUAUUUUUUCAUAUCGUAUGAAUUAAUAAGUUAUGCACAACAUUUUGGACUGGUUGAAUCCUUUUGUCUUUUACCUAAAGACAGUUUAUAUUUUAUAAACUUUGAGUUUAUAAAAUUUAAACAUUUCUUCUUUUUUUCUACUGUAUGGCCGAAAGUAUGGAGGAAAAGAAGAGGCAUGGGUUUUCAAUUUGUUUAAUCUAAAGGUCUUAACGGUUAAGGACCUUUAGACUAAGAUUACACUUUAACUAGCAAAAGGCUUUCAUUUUUUGCUUUAUCUUUUGAUUGUAAUUGUCGAGAUCUCUCUAGCUUCUCUCCCUCUCUUCUCUUGUUUUGAAUACUUGAAGAUCUGUUACUUGCAUUUACUCUUUUGGAUCAAAUACCUGGGUAUUUGUUUCCAAGCUUAAGAGCUUACAAAUAACUAGCAUUCUACAUCAAGUUGGUGCAUUCUUGGUGUCUCAAAGGUUCAACUAUCUUCAUCAAAACUCAAGCCUCCCAAGAGGACUCAAGGGACAACAAAGGUUGUUAUCAUAUUUUUCCUUCUAUGGUUGUGUUUUUAUCUUUCCAUUACUUACAAGAUGAUCCUUAGUAUGUUGUAACAAGCUUAUUAUGUUCGAAAUUUUAAGUCUUCCAUUUGCAAUUUUAUGAGUUUUUUAAACUAAUUUUGAAUUAAAACCCAACAAUUGGUAUCAAGAGCCACCUUUCAAGUUUGGUUAGAUUUUAUGAUUUUUGGAAAUCUUAAUUUUUGGAGAAUAUGGAUAACUUGUUUGUGUAUAAAAAUAAGUUCAUACAUAUUUUCUUUGACAACUUCUUGAUGGUUAUUUUAUGUGAUAAAAAUUACAUGCAUUUUUUUCCACUUAAAGUUCUCUUAGAAAAACAAAUGUUGUUUUAUGUUUAUAUGUAUUUUAGAGUACAUAAACAAGCCUUGGACCAUUUGUGUUGUUGUUUGUGUGAUUUGGUUACAAAUGGUUUGUAAUAUUCUUUCAUUUAUAAAGUAUGUAAUAGAAGAAGUUAGGUUUUAUUCUUGUUAUUUUUAUGUAAUAAAUUAGUGUUAGACUAGUUUUAUCUUAUGAAAAAUGUAACAAGAUGAAGAUGGAGACAUUUCUUGAAGAACCAUGAAGACCCACAAUUAUAUGAAGAUUUUAUAAAAGUUUAUAACUUUCAUAAAAAUUUUAUAAAAUUGCAACAAAGUUGGUUGUCAUUACAAAUGGGAGCUUGAAGAUCACAUGAAGAACAAGUUGUAAUAUUUGGCCCCUUAGGUAGGACAUAACACUUUUGUGUUGGCUCACAAAAGUGUUAUAUAGAUUAAGGUUUGUUUAUGUCAAAUGCAUACUUGUGUUGUUUAUUUUUAUGCAAAUAAUUUGUGUGACUGAUAAAUUAGAUUUUCACAAGUUCAAACUAUUUUUUGGACAAAAUAAACAUCACAUGGAGUUUUUUUUUUCAAUUUGAAAAAUGAGAACAUUAGAUGACAAAGUUAUAACUUUCAAAUAAAAACCGGUUUUAUUAAAUCAUUAAUAACGACAAAUUUUGAAAUUGUAAAAUUAUAAGUCUAAAAUGGUGAUUUUAUAACUUAUUCAAACUCCAAUAUAUUAAUAAUAAAAGGAAAUUAAGUGAUAAAUAAGGUUCUAUAUUGUUCAAACUCAAACUUAAUAUUGGAUAUUAUCGUUAAAAUUGAACCGCCUCAAAAUAUAAAAAAACAUGUUUUAUAUUUGAACCUUAAAUGUGAUUUCUUGGAAAAUUGAUACCAUGAUUAAUUGGAUGCAUGCAAUUAUCUUGAUAUAACAUGUUUUAAAAUAGAAUAAUAAAACAUACAAAUACCUUUUCAAAAGGCAAGUCUAUGUCAUCCAAUUUUAGAAACAAUUGCACACUAUUUGUAUAGUGCUUGUGGGAUAAAUGAUACCUAACCACUUGUGUUAUCUUUUGGUGGCCAAAGUAUUUUUGCAAUUUCUAUAACCAAAUUAUAGGGCAAUUAUAUAAGUUUAUCUACUUGGAUGACUUGCUUGGAAACCUCUUGUGAUAAAGUGAAAGAUCUAGUAUACUCAAAAAUCAUAUUAAAAUGAUAUAGCUAAUUAACAUAUGAUCAUAAGGGUCAUACUAACAAUAACUUGUGUAACGCCCUGUUCCAAAUCAUUUCCUAAUGAAGGGUGGUGACCCGAAGACCGAGUAUCAUCAGGCUUAGGGCCUUUGAGGAAAAGAAAUUUAGACUAAUUUGGGUGUAGGUAAUGUAAUUUGGAUGAUCUGGGAGUUCGGUUGUGUUUUGGAACCAAGGGGUAUUUCGGUAAAGUGUCAGCUUGGGCUUUUAUGAAAAUUGGAUUUUUGUUCAGGAAAUUUUAAGUUAAUCAUGAGUUGAUAGAAGUGUAUAGAUUCUCGUUACCUCUUCGUGGAUAUAAGAAUCGUCGAAAACGGACUUAUAAUGAAGAAGUUAUGGCCUUCGGAAGAUUUGAGGUUUUAGGGUUAAAUCGAGUAUGCGGGGCGUACACAAGUGUACACAUGGCGUACUAGUGAUGCGUAAAAUAAUUAUACACUAGUUUAUCCUACUAAUGAAACUAAUUAUUACCUAAGGCAGUGUACCUUGUUGAAAAUAAUAUAGCUCAAUAGACAGGUAUUGAACACAGAGAACAGAUUUAAUUAACUAUUUAAUGACCCCAAGCAAAACUACAAUAAAAUACUUUUAAUUAUAAUAAAAAUUAUCAUAAAAAAUAUAAAACUUUCAUAGUCAACAAAUAAUACAUGUUCCACCCAUCCAAGUUCUCGGCAAAAAAAAAAAAAAAAAAAAAAAAAAAAAAACAGUCUUGUGGCACACGAUCAUUUGCUUCUUUUCCCAAAAAGCCUUCACACAGAACGUAUAUGAGACAUGCUCUAACUGUAUCAUCGUCGGUAACUGCUAAGAAGUGCUGAUUUAAAAUAUAACUUUUACAAUCACAGAUUUUCACUGAACUAUUUGUGUGGUUCAGAAAAAGACGUUCCUGCAAUAAACAUCUUUUUUGACUACUAAUUUUUUUUUUCUUACACUUCUUUUUCCAAUCAUUUUUGGAUAAACUCCAAAUUCAACCCGAUUAUCAAACAAAACUUUUCCGGACCAUAAACCAUUUUAGUAACCCCCAAUUUAAAAUACAACCGCUUUAUGUCAUCUAUGGAUACUACUGCAUCCGACAGUAAUAGAUGAAGAAACAUUUUAUAAAACAACAACCCGUCCCCUUGUAAUUGAGGGACGUCCAGCAAGUAACCAAACACAGUGUUUCUAAAACCUUCCUGUUACACACCAUGCAAUACUUCAAAUAUUUUCCAUAUAUUACAUGCCGAUCAUUUUAUGUUAACAACUUUAACAUUUAGAUUUCUAUAAUUAUGCUGCAAUACAACUUGUUAGAAAACAUAUGAUUGUAACAAAAACUCAAUAGCUUAUAAACUAUUAUAUUUAAAAAAAAAAUCGACGAUUUAAAUCACAAAAUAAACCAAUAUCUAUUUAUAACCAGGAUAAUUAAUCUAAUUAUAUAUAAAAGAUAUUUCUAUUUAUAAACAUUUUUAUAACAAUACCAAUUAAAUAAAUAUUUUUUUAUAAACUAUAUGUAUAAUAUCAAUAUGCAAAUGUACAACAUCAUGUAGCAAUAAUCAUUAUUAUAUGAAAAAGUCAUAUUAUUAAACAUAUUAACAAAAUGGUACAACCUCACAAUGUACAAUUUACUUAUUAUACAUUUGUACAAUCAUACAUCUACUUAUUAAAUACCAUCAAAACUCAAAUCUACUAAUAAAAUCUACUAACUAUCAAAUAUAACAUAUCGAUCUAAAAAACUGAAUAAUAAAACACAACAAAGUUUUGUUUUGGUUUUUUUUCAAGUUUUUCGGAAUAAAUCGUAAAUAAACAAGCCCUAAUGUUGAUAAAUGAUGAUUAAAACAUAAAAAAGUAAAGAUCUUGCCAUAUUAUUGAAGUUGUUCAUGAAAUCGUCCAUAAUUGCAGGUGGUCUAAGAAAAUCCCUUCCUAGAGAGAGUUUUCAACAAAAAAGACAAAAAAUGAAGCAAAAAAAAUUGUUUUUAUACUUGGCAUUCUCGAAAAUCGCAGAUGGGUAAUUAUAUUCGCAAAUAGACUAGUUCAUUUACGAAUGUACAAAUCGCUAAAGCACAGUUGUUCUUUAACAACUUGUACGUUUGCAGAUGGCUUGCAAAAAUCGCAGACGUGCUUAAUCCAUCUGCGAUUUUAAUGGCUAAAAAUGUAAUUUUGUUUUUUUAGCUAGUUUCCACAAAGUAGUUAAGAUAUUCGUCUAAAUUUACAAUUUUCUCAAAAAAAAAAAUCAAUAAAGAUGAUGUAUUAAAUUAAGUUGGAGUGGAAAUUUUCUCACAUAGGUGAUAUAUUUAAAACAAACUAAAAAAAAAUGCUACGCUUUGCUUGCAAAUAUUUUAACCCGUAAUUAACUUAUAGUAUCACCUUCAAAAAAUAAUAGUCUUGAUAUCGAUUUGUUUAAAUUAUUUUGGAUGCGCUUUUUGGAAUAAUAAAUAAAUUUACAUUGGGUUUUUUUAGUGAUGAUACUACAUGUGUGUUCGGCAAAACUAGCUGGUAGCGGGUAGGUUGGAGCUUGUAGCGUUUUGUUAAACGCUACGUUAAGUAGCUUUUGGAUUUGGAGGGUUUUGUUUAAACUAAACGCUAGAAGCUUGUAUUGCCAAACAAAAGUUUUCUAUUCCAAAAUAGAGCGUUUUGUCAAACGCUAGAAAUUAAAAGUUUUCAAACGUUACAGGCCAAACACGCCUUACGUUAUAUCGAUAAAAAAAUAGCUUUACUUUUCUACCGUUAGGAACUUACUCCCUUCCUAGUAUAACAAUCUUGCAACUAAUAGGGUAACAAACUUUUAUUAUUAUUAUUAUUGCAACUAAUAGGGUAACAAACUUUUUAUUAUUAUUAUUAUUAUUAUUAUUAUUAUUAUUAUUUAUGUACUUUAUUUAUUUAUGUAAUCAUGUUUUUUCCUUUUAUGUUUGACAUGUUUAAAAUAUGGUAAUAUUACUGAUAAUUACCAGUGAUAUUACCCUAUUAUAAAAUAUCAAACAAUGUUACUGGUCAAAAAAGAUGGUUUACUAAAAUGUAGACAAAAAAACAAAUUUCAGCACCCAUUUUGGUAAUAUUUUAGUUCUUUAUGCUAAGUGCAAACAUUCAUAAUUCCCUCUUAUGUGACAUGGUAUCGGGUCAUCCGGUCUUGGUUGUGCUACCAUAUAAUGUUGUUUGGUGGUGCUAUAUCAUGCGAUACUAUCAAGUCGUGCUGCCAAGUGGUGUUUCUAAGCAGUGUUGUCUUAUUAUUUGGUUCAUGUCAAUGGAUUUAACAUCAUCACCCACAGAAAUACACUAACAACGUAAUACAUAAAGUACACAUACCUCUGAAGCGCACUUAUUCAAUAAUAUUCCUUUGCAUUACGAAGCUAUGAUUUCGCCCAUUUGAUUAUAAUUCGUACAACCAAAAUACGUAAAAGUAACAUGGCUCACGGUAUCCUCAGCUAAGGGCGAAUCCAUUAUUCGUCUCGUCAAAUUUCUUUAGUUUUUUUUUCUUUUCAGACUUCNNNNNNNNNNNNNNNNNNNNNNNNNNNNNNNNNNNNNGGGGGAUAUGUCGAGUCUAGACCAGGUCACUUGGAAGAGUAUUGUCAAAUAAAUAGUUAGUUACUUAAACGCAUGGUUGCACCGCCCGACAAUAUUGUUUGGCAGCACAAACAUGAUCCGUUGGCCUGAUUCCAUGUCACCCCUGUAGGUCUUAUGACUACUUGCAUUUUGCAUAAAAACCCAAUAUUAUCAAAAUUGGUAACGAACUUUGGUUUUUGUUCACAUUUACCUAACUAUGUUUUUUUAUACACGUUUGACCAAUAAACUUAUUUAACAUGUUCAUAAUAAAGUAAUAUUACCGAUAGUUAUGAGUUUAUUGGUCAAAGUGUCAAACGUAAACGAAAACACAUGAUUAUCAAAAUAUAGACAAAAACAAAAAUUCGUUAACUUCUUAGGUCAUCAAACCUAAUUUUUAAGGUCCAAAACUUUGCUGCAUCAUAUUGUAUUUUUUUUUGAAUUGCCAACACUGAAAAACCGUUCAAGGUACAUCAUCUAGGAAUAAAUCAUUUUAGUAUUCUUAAUAUUUAGACGUGUCACAUUUUAAUAUUGAAUUUUUGUAUAUAUAUCUCAACAACUAGAUUUUUAUCAUGAAUAUGAAUCUUUAAUUGUUCAUAGAUUGGUUCUAUCUAACGUAUUAAACUUUUUAUUUUAUUAUUUUCCCUUCCUAACACCCUUUUUUCAGUUAUUCCAUGUGUUUGUUUUAUAUUUUAUUGUUGGUAUUUGUUUGAUAAUGUUAUGCAUGCAACCACUUUUUUUAAUGUAGAUGAUGUUUUAUGCAAUUGCCAUAAUUAUGAUAAACGUCCACGAUUAAUUUGCUUUGUUAAACCACACAUCACUGUCAAAUUUCUCAGUUUUAAUCUUUCAAUCAAGUUAUUAUUUUUCUCAAUUGACUUUAAUUUCACCAAGAACAUUAAAUUCUUUUUUUUUUUUUUUGCCUUGCCUUUGUUUACGAUUUCAAUUUUAUUACUGGAAAUUCAAUCUGGUUUUGGUCUUAUUGAUUAGGAUUAUUUAAGGUUUAUUUGAAAUUCAAUUUGUUUCGUUAAAUUUCUGUAUUACCGAAUUACUUCAUUUAGAAGGAACUCAAUGUUAAUAAGUGAUGUUUAGAUGAAAAUUGGGUUAUGGAUUUUGGCAAAUAAUAGCUUGUAUUAGACAAAACGACAAAAUUGGUCAAUAUCGUUUGUAAAAAACUGUGGAUAUUAUUCAAAAAGUUUUCAACUUGUUUGAAGGUCCAAAAUUAAAAAUUUUCCAUGGUUUUUUGAUCAAUUUUCGUCCGUGAUAAAUUUGAAAUGACAAUUUUACCUUUUAAAUUCUUUUUUGUAUUAUUUUUUCAUAUUAUCCUAAAUACUUUAUUAAAACAAAAUUAAAAAAGAAAAGCAUCGGGCAUAUCCACCCCAUCCCACCGAUGACCUCACCUUCUCUCUCUCUCUCUCUCUCUCUCUCUCUCUCUCUCUCUCUCUCCACCUUGUUCAUCCUCCCAUCUUGUUUGAUCAUUCAAAUCUCAAAACUCUAAGUCGGUACCGAAUCCUCCAUCACUAGCACCGACUCACCCCUACUCUCCUUAAGACAUCAACUCCAUAUUCUUUUAUUCUCUCUCGCUCAUCGUCGCCAAGCACAAAUAUGUUAAUUGGAGGCUAAAAAUCCACUUUAGAACCUCAACUACAACCAUGGAACCUUAGUAAGAAUCACUUCUCAUCAAGAACAAACAAUAUGCUAAAGAGAAAUAGAAUAAAUUUGGCAAAAAUGCAAGAAUCACAUCUCAUCGGAGCAGUGGCGCGAUGGAACCUCAUCCCCCACUUCAUCUUCUCCGGUCAUCGCUAUGCAGUUCAUGUUCAUUAGUUUGGGUGGGUGUAGAUUUUUUGGGUUCCAUUCAUUAUCUCAAAGAUUUUUUGGUCAUUUAUUUUUUCAAUUUGGGGUUUUUAUCAUGUGAAAUUAGGGAAGAAAGGGGAUGGCGUGGACUAGAUUUUUUGAUGGUGGAUGGAACUAUCGACGAGGUCAUGUGAGUUAGUGGAAGUCCUCAAAGCUACAUGAAUGUCUGAUGGAAACACUUGGCAUGGAACCUGGUUCCGACAGUCAAAUAUAUAGAUUUUCUUAGAUUUUUUCAUUUUUUUUUAUAAAUUUGAGAAAGGAAUUUGUAGGUGGGUGGAUCAAAGUUUUGAGAAGUAUAUAGUGCGGUUUUUUAGUUUUGGUUUUCGUUUGUUGAAGUAAUUAGUGCAAUGGUAGGUUAAAUGUUUAAGGGUUUGGUUUGCAUGAUCGAAUUUAAUUCGAGACAGAAGAGAAAAGGAAUUGCAGAGAAUAUGAAGUAUUAAAGAUUGAAGGUUUAUGGUCUCAUGAGAAGUGCAGGAAGAUUCAUUAUAUCGUCUGCUUUCAAAACAUUUGUAUGUGUGCGUGUGAGAGAGCGAGAUAGAUAGAUAGAUAGAUAGAUAUAGAGAGAGUAGCGGGCCCAUUAUUUUCUUUUGUAUUUUUUAUAAAUGAAAGACUAAAAUAAAUAUGAAAAAUACUAAAAAGAAAUUAAAAGGGCAUAAUCAUGCUUUCAACUUGUUUUGGACCAAAACUACGAAAAUUUUUGAUUUUGGACUGUAACAACCGUUUUCCAUAUUGGAUCAUUGUUGAUCAUAAAGGAGUCAAAAGAAUGAUUUUUGGGAAAAAUCAUGUGUCACGACGUGACCAUAGUUUAGGUCAUGACGUGACAAGCUAAAUGGAAGAACACGUAUCUGGAGGAUUUGCCAUGACGUGACAUGUAUUUGGUCAUUACGUGACAAGGGCUGCAAUCCACGCCCACAAUAUUUUAGGGUUUCCUUCGUAUUUCAACACCCUAAACUAAGAUUUAGGGUUCAGUUCUCAGCCUCCAUCUCCUUGAAAACUCAGAAACCCUAAACCUAGUCCAUCUUGGUGGCUUUGGCUUAAUUUGGCUCAUUUUGGGUGGUUUUAGAUCUUUGUUGAAGAAGAAGGUCCCUUUGGUGCAUUGUUUCAACAAUCAAGCCUCCUCCUUACGAUCUUGUGUUGUUUAUGGACCUUUGUAAGUCCUCAAGUUCAUGCCUUUCUCAUGUAAGCUUGCUAGAUCUAAGUUUUAACUACUUUUCUCCAUGUACGAGUUGAGUUGAAUGCAUGGAAUCCAUAAAGUUAGCAAUUUUAUGGAUCUUUGAGGUCAUUUGAUAUGCAUAAGUCUUAGAUCUGAAGUUUGAUGGUGGAUUGGAAUCCAUGCAUGAGUCAUGGUCUCAUUUCCUUUUAUUUUGACCUAGUUAGUGUUGAAGUCACGCAUUGGACAUGCAUGACUAAAAAGGUAUGAUUUUUAUGGUCGUUUGGGUUGGGGAAAGCCUUUUGGAAGGUUUGAAGGUUUGGCUUAAAGGGAUAAGAGCUUAAUACUUUAAGUUGUCCAAAUAGGGUCUCACGAUGUGACAUGAUAUGUCGUGACAAUGAGUGAUAUCGCGACUAUUUUGUCCGAACUAUGUCACGACAUGACUAAUGGAUGGUUACGACACGACAAUCAACUGGGGAUGACUUUGACCUUUGAAUUUUGACCAUGGUUAACUUUUGGUCAAAAUAGGGCGUUAGGGUGUAGACUAAGAGGGUACUUUUUUAUUGUUGUUAGGUGUCUCGUUGUACAUGUCUACCCGGUGUGUGAGCGAUUGUGUGUUACCUGCUAUUCACGAGGUGAGGGUUCUCACUAUACUUUCUUGUGUGGUAGUAUAUGUUGACCAUUUGGGUCUUAUUUGUUGAUUACUACUUUAUGUGAAAUGAGUUGUUGAUAACUCCAGGACUGCUGUGAGUCUAUGGAACUACUGAUAGCCCCCAGGGUUGCUAAUAACCCGUGAGGUGUGUUGUUAAUCCAUAGGGCUUGUUGUUAGCCCAUUGGGACCGUAGAUAGUCCCUAGGGUUGAUGUUAACCCAUACUUGAUUAUAUUAAGCUGUAUGUGACAUUCAAGACUGCUAAUAGUUCUAGGGUUGCAGAUAAAACAUAGUUAAUUAUUAUGUUGUGAUGUAUGAGAUAUUUUAAGGGACUCACUCAACUUUGUGCUUACCUAUAUGGACUAAAUAUUUUGCAGGUACUUAUAAGAUUGUUAAGGCGGGACUAUACACACACAUCAACAGAUUUAUGAAGUAUUGUCUGCUUUAACACCGAUUCCUGAAUAAUGGUUUAUGAACAAAUGGUUUGACUUGAAUGUAAUUUUAUUAAAAUAAAAGUUUAAAUUACUCUAAAAAUGAAAAUUUUAGUCUUGGAUUUUUGGAUGAUACAAUUUGGUAUUAGAGACCUGGUUUGAGGGAUUUGGAUAAACACUCGUGGGAUUCCAAACUUAAACUAUGGAUCUGAGAGUCUUUCUAAGCCUUUUUGGAAACAAUUCAUUUCAAGAGAAGAAAAGAGAAGAUGCAAUGUGUAUAGUUAUUUGGAGCAUGAAAAAGUGAUUUCCUAAAAUAUCCAUACUUACUUUAUAUGUUGUAUUUGAGUUGCUAUUAUAUGUGUUAUAGUAUGAUGUGCAUGCUCUAAGUUAGGCUAAGUAUCUACUCAGGGUAUCAUGCUAGAAUGCCUGUUUAGGAGUGAUACCUUUUGUAUGUGAUAUAUGGACAAUUAUAGAUGCAUGGUAGUGUGUACACUAAGGAUUCUCUAGAAUUACAUGUUAGAAUUGUCUGAUCCUUAUGAUACCUUUUUCCUAUUGGUUUUGCUGCUCGAAUGCUGCUUGCUUUGUGUUAGGUGAAACUUAUAUUGAUGUAAGUUUACUAUUAAGAGAAUACGGUAAGUUACAUGCCACAACGAUUAAUUAGUUUUAGAAUGCUAGAUUUGGCCCUAUUGUGCAUCUCUUGUUUGAGUCCAACCAUUGUAGUGCAUGAUCUUUCUGUCGAAGGACUCUUUUAAUCCUUGAUGCAUGUAUUUGUAUUCAUAAGAUAGUUAGUUGGAAUUGGUAAAUGUUUCUUUCGCGGUUGUUAGCAGGCUGGGGGCGAGUAUUCCUAAUGACAUUGGAGGAGUGCUAUAGUGUGUUUGUGUGAGCACUAAUGUAUAAGGAAGUCUAGUGUGGGAAUCUAGGUAGAGUAUGGUGGCUUUUCUAAGCAUAUGGGUAUCUUGAUACAUCUGGCAGUGGUGGAGUUACUAGAAAAGUGUUCGAGGGCAUGCUCAUGAGUGAGUAGAGGCCUAGAAGGAGAGUCUAGGAAGAGUAGUAGUGUGUGCUUGUGGUGACACGAUUACCUGUGGUUAAUAGUGGUCACGUGUAGUGACUUAGGGGCCUUGAGACAAUUCUUGGGAUGCAAACGGAUAUGUGUGGAAGGUAGUAAGUGAUGGGAUUUAUAGGUAACAAAAAUCAUAUUUUUGGCGGAAAAACCUAAAACCUUAAGUUCACAUACACCCUAAAACAUCUAUGUUCUCGCUAUGAUAUGCAAACAACAAUUUGAAUUUAGAACCCUAAAGUACAUUUCUAUUUUCGAUUUAGUAGAAGAGAUAAUAGAAAACAUACCUAUUAGUGUAACAUUUCAAAAUUAAAGACCAAAAAUUUCGUUUUGAUUAAUCAAAAACCGCUUAAUAAAUUUUGCUCAUGCAUUUAACAACAUUCUUAAUAUAACAUUUAUCAGAGUUUUAAAUCCCAAAGAUCAUCUAGUGCGGAAAACAUGGUGUGAUGCGCUGCGAUCACCUCGAGCUCCUUCCUUAGAAAAACAUUAGUACCGGAAACAAAUAGCUGAAAACCGUAAGCACGAAGCUUAGUGAGUUCCCCAGAUACCACAUACCAUACAUAUCAAUUGAUCCAUACAUGCCAUACAUAACUAUGAGCCAUACAUAACAAACGUAUCCAUAAUCAAGUAAGGUGCUAUGUGCUAAACAUAGUCUUGCCAAGGUGCUAUGUGCCAAGCAUAGUCUUGCUGUUAUGUCACGGGCCGCACGUGGUCUUCCUGGUCAAGCCUGGGGCCACUCCCUGGGUCUUAUAGACAAGUACCGAGGGCCAACCACUGGUCUUCCAUGCAAGCAUCACAAAGACAGCUAUACAUACUACUCUACAAGGCUACUCAGCAUAUAGUGUGUCAGGAGCCACCUCUUGGUCUUUCAUACAUAAUAGCAUACAGUGCGCCAGGAGCCACCUCCUGGUCAUUCAUACAUGUUGCCUAGGGCUAACCCUCGGGUCUUCUUACCAGACAUAAUAACAUACUGUGGGCCAGUAGCCGCCUCCUGGUAUUUUAUACAUAAUGCCUAGGGCUAACCCCUAGGUCUUCCUAUCAUACAUAAACUAGAUGGGACGACAUUAUGGCCGUAGACCCAUACAUACAGUGAGGAGACUCACCUCACACUACCGAAGAUUCACUGAACACUUCUGAAUGCUAACCGGCACUUCUGAACUACUAACCCUUCGGCUUCCAGAACUAUCAAUACCCAUAACAACAUUUAGACCAAAAUAAUCCAAAAGCCAACCCUGGUCAAACUUGGUCAAAGUCAACAUCCAGUUGACCUGACUCGCCGAGUUGGUCUACCAACUCGUCGAGUCCAUACUCCUCUGACCCCAUACAACCCUGAAUCCACUCGUCGAGUCUAGCAGUAACUCAACGGGUUCUCCUUCAACCACAUAAUCGGGACCAACUUCAUCCGACUCACCGAGUUCAUCCUUGAACUUGUUGAGUUCAUCAUCCACAUAUGAAUGUGUCUAGUCUAUGACCUGCCGAGUUGGAUGAACAACUCGUCGAGUCCAUCUUCAUAACUAAGGAGAUUGCCUUAGACUCGUCGAGUUCUUCCUUGAACUUGUGUAGUACGAUGAACUUCAUGACCAUUAUGGACUCAUACUGGCUGAGCCCCUUUCCAAUCUCAACUCAUACCCUUAAUAGAAGGGUUUUUGGGGUAAGAACUGGUCUGACUCGCCGAGUCCCACAACUAACUCAUCGAGUCUCUCUAUUUCCAACACUAUUCAGACGAUUUCCAACUAGCUUAAGGCAUCCAAGACCCAGAUCUGGCCUCCUAGGGUCGUGAUAUCACACAAAGCCACUACCUUUGCACCCAUGCACGACCCUUUUUGCUCAAAAGGCCAAAACAACUCCUUAAACUUUGCAUGGAGAGGUAUAAUGGCAUAAAGCUUCCACCUUUAUGCCUCUACUACUCUGAACACCUCUAAAUCUGGAAGGAUCUAGCUUGGGGACGUCCAAAUCCCACAAGACAUCCUUCUUGGACCAUAAACUCCAUAAAAGUGACAUAAAGAGAUCUAUCAAACUAGAAGUCAACGUGAGAACUUGAUUACCAGAAAAUGAAGAUGAUGAAUCAAACUUCCUGGAUCUACAACCCUUUCCUUGGACCUUCAAUCUCCUUCUUCUUCUUCUAGACUUCAAGAACACUCUAAAUCCUUCAAUAAGGCUCACACACUCAAAGAGAACACUAGGGUUUCGUGGGAUAAGUUCUGGACAAUGGAGGCUAAAAAUGAGGCUGAUAGAAUGAGAAUAAGAUGCUUAAAUAGGGAACCAACUCCCGAUUUAGGGUUUUCAUAAAACCUGGCCAACUCGCCGAGUCAGUCCCAUGACUUUUCGAGUAGGUCACUUAUCCCGCAACCAAAUUCGCGCUCCUACUCGUCGAGUCACCCAUCUACUCGACGAGUCACUUCCUCAUCUUGAGUUUUUCUUUCCUUUCUAGGUCUUUUGAAUUCAGGGUGUUACAACUCUCCCCUACUUAAACUAGACUUCGUCCUCGAAGUCCCCCGUGGUCAACUACCUUACCAUCUGGUUACCACUUUACCACUAGCUACACACUCCACCCAUCCGAUCCAAACCUGGAAGAUGUCAUCUUUAGAAUAACCCGAUCAUUACUACCUUCGAGUACAACACUUUUACCCAACCAGUAACCUUACUGAUACUCUUGUUACACUUACACUUGAUAUACAAGGGGUUUGCCCUCUUACCUUGCACUAUCACUGGCCUUUCCAAGGCACUUUCCACAAGCAACAAAACUUCCCAAUCUUCUUUAAGGACCAAUCCUUUGCUGAAACCGCAAUCCCGGCCACUCCCAGUGCCGACCAUCAUACCAAUACUCACGGAAUAAACCCAAAUACAAUGCUCCAAUACUGAAAACUCCACCCAGCGUGAGAAUUCAGACAAUCCUUCGAGCAACAUAUCCCUCUAUGCUACGUUUAAGGCUCAGACGAGGACAACAUUACCGAGCCAAAUCAUUUACUCUGAGAUCAUUUGAUUCCACGGUGAGCAACUCAACACCACCCGAUCAGCUCACGGCUUCUUACACCAAAUUCCUUACCAUCGUUCCUGCCUGAAGUCCCGUUGACUCCCAUAUGCCUACCGGAUAGAUCGCCCUGGUCCCAACUGAUCUACCAUUACCCGAAAUACCGGUCCCCCACUGGUUACCAAACGCAAGAGCAUUCCCUCAGUCGCUCUCGACGACUUAAGAAGAUACAUUGACUACCUGAAUUGCUCUAGCAACCCAGCCACCCUGGCUCUAAAAGAUCUAGGAUCCCCGAUCCCCUACCUUACCCUAAGGUCUCUACCAGGUCUCACCUGUUGGUAAAAUUACUCGGGCCUCACCCACGGGUCUCACCCAUCUAUACUUUGGUGCGGGCUCUCCCACAGGUCUCACCUAUCCAGGGCUAUGCAGACCCACUCCGCCUCUAUCNAUACGGGCCCCUGCCCACACUCUGCUAACUAGGAGAUACGGGCCCCUUCCCAGACUCCGCUAAGUAGGAUAUACGGGCCCCCGCCCACACUCCGCGAACUAAGCUGCUAAUGAAUGCUACAGCUUACCCGUAGUAUUACAUCACUCCUAGUCUCCAAUGACCUACCGCUUUCCGAAUCCAAUCAUAUUGUGGCCCACUCACAUCCGGGCGGCUACCUCGCCCUAUUUUAAACUAUCUAAAAGACCCUGCCACCGAAUCACACAUUUGAUACACUCGUACUGUCGAAUAGGGACUGACGAAUGCUACGGGCCACCCCAUAGUCUUACUAUACUCCUUCUGCCAACUAGUGAAUGCUACGGGCCACCCCCAUAGUUAUACAACACUGCUGCGCUACCAGCCAAUUAACGCUACGGGCUGCCCCGCAGUCUCACCACACUUCUACGCUAUCUGCCGACUAAUGCUACGAGCCACCCCGAAGUCUUACUAUAGUAAUGCUACGGGCCAUACCACAGUCUAAAUAUACUCAUAUACGAUUGCUAUGGGCCACACCGCAGUCUUACUAUACUAAUGCUACGGGCCAUACCACAGUCUAACUAUACUCAUAUACGAUUGCUACGGGCCACACCGUAGUCUUACCACACUUCUCUUACUAUCUGACCACUGGUGAAUGCUACGGCUAACCCAUAGUCGAGCAUACAAGUACAAUCUAUUACCCCCAAGUUGUACUCAUGUCCUAACUGAAACUCCCAACCGAUUAUUCUGCAAUUUGCUAUCAGACAUCCCAAGAUUGCGAUCUCACAAUUGGCAAGUUUUCCAAACUUCCAAUUCACACUAUCCUCAAUUCAUACAGCUGUCUGGGUCGUCUUUCUCCCUGACAAGAGAGCAAAACUUAUCCCAGUUUCAAAACCGCUUCUGCUCCCAUAACAUGAUUGUUUCUCCGCCACUUAGCUUUGACUAAGUCUUUACAGCACGCGAAAAUCCGUGGAUUUCCAUUCCUUCCUCCCUUACCCAAAAAGGCAUGAUAACUACCAUCGCCUUAAUGUUACUAGCGAUCCGUCACUAUCCCACUCCAAAUACCGUAUGAUUACCGAAUACUGGAUGAACACUUCCUGCAUCCCCGAUACUGAUAAUCCCCUAAGCUCAGACUGACGUCCUUAAGGUCUGAAUAACUAAUGCUUAGAGCAACCUCUUCAGUGAUAGACCACUUCCCUUGAUGCUUCCCAAAAGCUAUCCCAACCACCAAGACUAGAACCACCGAACCGUGAUGAUGGUGGAUGACUACUCCCUGGACCCUUACCACCGACCUCCACGUAACGCUCCUAAACCGUUUUCGGUCGUAACCGAGAUAAUACCGGACACUUCAAACCCGAAGUGAGAGAUGACCUUACACUAGCUACUAAUAGCUCCCGAUAUGCAAUUGGCAUAUGAUAAUUCUGAAAAUACAAUCUGAAUACAAGCAGAGAGACAACUCAUACAUACUAUCACCUGAGUCCGAGGGAAGAACAAUCCUAAUACAUAUAGAAUCGAAAAUAGCCAUUGAUACAUACCUGUAACAUUCCCUGCUGUAAUCCAGAUCUCCCUCAUC